UUCGCCAGGGAACAACGAGCCCCAGCUUAAAACCCAAAGGACUUGGCGGUGCUUUAGACCCCCCUAGAGGAGCCUGUUCUAGAAUCGAUAAUCCCCGUUCAACCUCACCCCCUCUUGUUAUUACCGCCUAUAUACCGCCGCCGUCAGCUCACCCUGUGAAGGAUCAAUAGUAGGCAAGAUUGGCUUAUCCCAAAACGUCAGGUCAAGGUGUAGCGUACGAGGGGGGAAGAAAUGGGCUACAUUUGCUGACCCAGCAAACACGGACAUUGCACUGAAAUCGGGCAUUUAAAGGAGGAUUUAGCAGUAAGCUGGGAGUAGAGUGCCCACCUGAAGCCGGCCCUGAAGCGCGCACACACCGCCCGUCACUCUCCCCGCAAGCAAUAGCAGAUAACUAAUAAGAUACCCGCGAACGAAGGGGAGGCAAGUCGUAACAUGGUAAGUAUACCGGAAGGUGUACUUGGACAACC
Molecule: ribosomal RNA, 467 nt
Filed under: Zebrus zebrus (zebra goby)
Lineage: Eukaryota; Metazoa; Chordata; Actinopteri; Gobiiformes; Gobiidae
Description: partial 12S ribosomal RNA
Rfam family: Bacterial small subunit ribosomal RNA
Source: RNAcentral